Schizosaccharomyces pombe (fission yeast) is the source of this 720-nucleotide non-coding RNA. NCBI's taxonomy places the organism in Eukaryota, Fungi, Ascomycota, Schizosaccharomycetes, Schizosaccharomycetales, Schizosaccharomycetaceae. The record is from the annotation of a GenBank genome assembly.
CUUCUUUCAUUUCCUAUGCUUUAAACAGCGUUAUCGUUAGGAAACCGUAUUUGUACCACUUGCUUCUUUAAAAGUGACCUGGUUGAAAGGAAGACUAUAUACAUAAAGAGAAUCGAAAUCCGAAAGGGAUAUAUCAUUAUAUAUUUGAAAAUUUUGAAAAGUUGCUUUAAGGAUAAAGACCAUAAAUAUUGAAUUAAUGACUGCUUAAGCGAACUUUAAAUAAGGUUGAUAUAACCGAAUGCUGUAAUUAAAAACAUUCGAAACAUCCUCAUUUAUUUACGAUUUCGAAUUCUCUAGUUUUCAUCAUUUGAAAAUAUCCUUUUGUUACAGUUGGACUACUUUUAUUUACUCGAUCUUUUUGAUAGUUUAAUUAUGACUUGCGACUUAUGAUACCAAAUUUAGAUUCUUUUUGUGUGUUACACGAAUAUUAUUAUGUUUCAAGGUCAGUGGCUUAACAAAAACAAAAUUGCAAUUUGGAAACGAAAACAACCAAUUUCCAGUCUUUCACAAUAAGUGUAAAAUGCGCUACCUUCACAAUUUCACAUGGUUUAAUCUUCUGACAAAUGGAGUUUAUAUAUUUCAUAUCCGUCCAGGCGAAUGAAAAUGAAUAUGAAAAAUUUUUGAAAAUUAAAUCAUCUAAGUUAAUCGUUGUAUUAUAGGAAUAUGAUUUAUUACAUCACAACUUAAAAAUUAGAUACUAAAUAUUUUGGUAUACAUGCC